UGUCUAUCUCAGUUGCAUCGUUUGUGCUCAGCAGUGUGUGAAUAACAUCAUGUUCAGAUUGCCCAGAAUGCUGCUCUGUGAAAAAAAACAUGUAGUCUCCCAUGGGAAUUGCCCCUUGAUCUGGCCAGGAAGUGGGAGUCUCAUCGUUCCUCUCUGGAUGACAUUCAAGACAUUGUGAAAGUGAUGCUAACACAGAUUCAUUUUAGUUCUGGACUAAAAAUAAUUCUAAAUAGAACAUCUCCAUAGAAAGUGCUUUUUAGUCCAGUACUAGGCUUAAUCUGAAAUCGCCCCUGAAUGUCCUGAUCAUCACUAUCAUUUCAAAUGGCAAAAACUCUAAUAUUUUAAAACAUAUAUAUUUUCACUCCAUUUCCUCAAAAAAUAUGACACUUUGUCAUCAUAGCAUUUUGAAGAGAUGAUCUCUGAUAUGUCAUGUUAGAUAUUUAAAUCCCCAGAAAUUAGAUGAUUUGUAAAAAAAAUAAAUAAUAAUACUUACCUGCAGAAAAUACCUGGAGAGUAAGAAGGAGAGAGAAAAUCACUGCUUCUGUUAGUUUGACUUCCAUUGUGAAAGGAACAUGCUGAGAUCUGUACAGAGGCCUUUUAAGACAAGGAGUGGAUCUGUCUGUCUCAGCGCCCUCUAUAAUUACAUUGAUAUUUCUGCACAUUUAGAUUUUUUAUCCAGGUGUCUGGCUGGAACAGAUGUGUAUUAACAUGUUAUAAUUACCCUCAGAGUACAAUAACACCUGACUCAAACUCAUAGCUACCAGACAGUUCCAUCAUUAUAUUGUGCAAAAGAGAUGGUGAUAAGUAAGCUCAAAUGAUAAGUUGUGUCUGGUCUGGGGCAAUUUGUCUAAAUAAAAAGGUAAGAUCUA
Long non-coding RNA from Oncorhynchus tshawytscha (Chinook salmon), 869 nucleotides. RefSeq lists it as uncharacterized. The transcript has 2 exons. The record is from RefSeq and is a predicted model, not a curated record. Lineage: Eukaryota; Metazoa; Chordata; Actinopteri; Salmoniformes; Salmonidae.